This 426-nucleotide ribosomal RNA is filed under the name uncultured bacterium. RNAcentral's name for it is "bacterial SSU rRNA". It matches the Rfam family "Bacterial small subunit ribosomal RNA", at positions 354 to 796 of the family's 1533-position model. The record is from RNAcentral.
GUGAGGAAUAUUGCACAAUGGGCGCAAGCCUGAUGCAGCGACGCCGCGUGGGUGAUGAAGGCUUUCGGGUCGUAAAGCCCUUUUCUAGGUGACGAGAAUGGACGGUAGCCUAGGAAUAAGUGUCGGCUAACUACGUGCCAGCAGCCGCGGUAAAACGUAGGACACAAGCGUUAUCCGGAGUUACUGGGCGUAAAGGGCGUGUAGGCGGAUCGGUAAGUCUACUCUGAAAGCUCCUGGCUAAACUGGGAGAGGCGAGUGGAGACUGUCGGUCUAGAGUGAGGAAGAGGAAAGUGGAAUUCCGCGUGUAGUGGUGAAAUGCGUAGAGAUGCGGAGGAACACCAGUGGCGAAAGCGGCUUUCUGGUCCUUAACUGACGCUGAGGCGCGAAAGCAUGGGGAGCGAACGGGAUUAGAAACCCGUGUAGUCC